Molecule: small RNA, 172 nt
Filed under: Pelobates cultripes (western spadefoot toad)
Lineage: Eukaryota; Metazoa; Chordata; Amphibia; Anura; Pelobatidae
Source: RNAcentral
AUAGGAGUGGUGUGUUAAGUAGUACUAUUCUUAUCAGUUUAAUACCUGUUACGUCCCCUAUCAGGGGACGUGUAUAUAGCAUCGAUUUUAGGAACCGGGAGAUGGAAAAAGAUGCUUGGUCGGUCCUCCUUCUUCAAAUUUGGGGCACUGCACGUGCCACCAGAUAGGAGUG